Molecule: ribosomal RNA, 497 nt
Filed under: uncultured bacterium
Lineage: Bacteria
Description: partial 16S ribosomal RNA
Rfam family: Bacterial small subunit ribosomal RNA
Source: RNAcentral
GAUGAACGCUGGCGGCGUGCCUAAUACAUGCAAGUCGAGCGAACAGAUAAGGAGCUUGCUCCUUUGACGUUAGCGGCGGACGGGUGAGUAACACGUGGGUAACCUACCUAUAAGACUGGAAUAACUCCGGGAAACCGGGGCUAAUGCCGGAUAACAUUUAGAACCGCAUGGUUCUAAAGUGAAAGAUGGUUUUGCUAUCACUUAUAGAUGGACCCGCGCCGUAUUAGCUAGUUGGUAAGGUAACGGCUUACCAAGGCAACGAUACGUAGCCGACCUGAGAGGGUGAUCGGCCACACUGGAACUGAGACACGGGCCAGACUCCUACGGGAGGCGGCAGUAGGGAAUCUUCCGCAAUGGGCGAAAGCCUGACGGAGCAACGCCGCGUGAGUGAUGAAGGUCUUCGGAUCGUAAAACUCUGUUAUUAGGGAAGAACAAAUGUGUAAGUAACUGUGCACGUCUUGACGGUACCUAAUCAGAAAGCCACGGCUAACUACGUG